RNAcentral lists this ribosomal RNA (468 nucleotides) under uncultured bacterium. Its description in RNAcentral is "partial 16S ribosomal RNA". It matches the Rfam family "Bacterial small subunit ribosomal RNA", at positions 28 to 507 of the family's 1533-position model. The record is from RNAcentral.
GACGAACGCUGGCGGCGUGCUUAACACAUGCAAGUCGAACGGAAAGGCCCUGCUUUUGUGGGGUGCUCGAGUGGCGAACGGGUGAGUAACACGUGAGUAACCUGCCCUUGACUUUGGGAUAACUUCAGGAAACUGGGGCUAAUACCGGAUAGGAGCUCCUGCUGCAUGGUGGGGGUUGGAAAGUUUCGGCGGUUGGGGAUGGACUCGCGGCUUAUCAGCUUGUUGGUGGGGUAGUGGCUUACCAAGGCUUUGACGGGUAGCCGGCCUGUGAGGGUGACCGGCCACAUUGGGACUGAGAUGCGGCCCAGACUCCUACGGCAGACAGCAGUGGGGAAUAUUGCACAAUGGGCUGAAGCCUGAUGCAGCAACGCCGCGUGCGGGAUGACGGCCUUCGGGUUGUAAACCGCUUUCGCAUGUGACGAAGCGUGAGUGACGGUAAUGUGUAAAGAAGCACCGGCUAACUACGUG